UGCUAAGUGACCGAAUAAGGUGUAAGUCUUUUAAACUUAUUAUAGCCUAUACUCUUAGCA
This 60-nucleotide transfer RNA is filed under the name Eulimnogammarus vittatus. RNAcentral describes it as "tRNA-Lys". The record is from RNAcentral. Lineage: Eukaryota; Metazoa; Arthropoda; Malacostraca; Amphipoda; Eulimnogammaridae.